Molecule: unclassified non-coding RNA, 206 nt
Filed under: Glomeromycota sp.
Lineage: Eukaryota; Fungi; Glomeromycota
Description: partial contains 5.8S ribosomal RNA and internal transcribed spacer 2
Rfam family: 5.8S ribosomal RNA (bases 1-71)
Source: RNAcentral
GUGAAUCAUCGAAUUUUUGAACGCAAAUUGCACUCUCUGGUAUUCCGGAGAGUAUGCCUGUUUGAGCGUAAUUUAAAAGAAUCUUUAACAAAUUUUUUGUUUCAAGGGAGAGGAGUUCUCCGCGUUUAUAGAGGAGUCUUGAGAUAAAUGGUCAAGUCUCAUUUGAGUCUAGACGUGUAAUAAUAUUAUUUAGCGAGAUUUUCAUU